UUAACUUCGGGGUGNCAGGCGAUACGGGCAUAACUAGAGUGCUGUAGGGGAGACUGGAAUUCCUGGUGUAGCGGUGGANUGCGCAGAUAUCAGGAGGAACACCGAUGGCGAAGGCAGGUCUCUGGGCAGUAACUGACGCUGAGGAGCGAAAGCAUGGGGAGCGAACAGGAUUAGAUACCCUGGUAGUCCAUGCUGUAAACGGUGGGCGUUAGGUGUGGGGACCGGUUUGGUUUCUGUGCCGUAGCUAACGCAUUAAGCGCCCCGCCUGGGGAGUACGGCCGCAAGGCUAAAAUUCAAAGGAAUUGACGGGGGCCCGCACAAGCGGCGGAGCAUGUGGAUUAAUUCGAUGCAACGCGAAGAACCUUACCUGGGUUUGACAUGCACCAGACGGUUGUAGAGAUACGUACCUCCCUUUGUGGUUGGUGUGCAGGUGGUGCAUGGUUGUCGUCAGCUCGUGUCGUGAGAUGUUGGGUUAAGUCCCGCAACGAGCGCAACCCUUGUCUUAUGUUGCCAGCACGUUUUGGGUGGGGACUCAUGAGAGACUGCCGGGGUUAACUCGGAGGAAGGUGGGGAUGACGUCAAAUCAUCAUGCCCUUUAUGCCCAGGGCUUCACACAUGCUACAAUGGUUAGUACAACGCGCUGCGAGCCUGUGAGGGUGAGCGAAUCGCUGAAAGCUAAUCUCAGUUCGGAUUGGGGUCUGCAACUCGACCCCAUGAAGUCGGAGUCGCUAGUAAUCGCAGAUCAGCAAUGCUGCGGUGAAUACGUUCCCGGGCCUUGUACACACCGCCCGUCACGUCAUGAAAGUUGGUAACACCCGAAGCCCAUGGCCUAA
RNAcentral lists this ribosomal RNA (833 nucleotides) under uncultured bacterium. Its description in RNAcentral is "bacterial SSU rRNA". It matches the Rfam family "Bacterial small subunit ribosomal RNA", at positions 609 to 1438 of the family's 1533-position model. The record is from RNAcentral.